RNAcentral lists this ribosomal RNA (119 nucleotides) under Triticum aestivum (bread wheat). The record is from RNAcentral. Lineage: Eukaryota; Viridiplantae; Streptophyta; Magnoliopsida; Poales; Poaceae. RNAcentral also lists the same sequence under 1 other name.
GGAUGCGAUCAUACCAGCACUAAAGCACCGGAUCCCAUCAGAACUCCGAAGUUAAGCGUGCUUGGGUGAGAGUAGUACUAGGAUGGGUGACCUCCUGGGAAGUCCUCGUGUUGCAUUUC